UAUUGGAUCGCAUUUAACAAAAAAGGAACCAGCGCGAUUAGAGCGUUGUAAAAAUGUUGCCUCUUUAUAAUUAUGCAAGAAAUCGCCCAGAAAGAGCAAAUAUUUUUUGCUUUCUACCAAAAAAUUGUUAAUUUUAAAGAAAAAUAAUCGCGUAAAUUUGAAUAAUGUAAAUAUAUUGCGUAUUUUUAAAGGAAAUGAAGAAGUUGCACGAUUUUGAAAACGAUAUAAUCGCGCUGUUUCCUUUUUGAAAAAUGCGAUCAAAUUGGAAGUGCAUGAAAUAUUAAUUGCUUUGUGGGGUUCCACAUAAAAUUCAACAAAAUAAAGGUUAGCCUUUAUUUUAUUGAUUUUAUUGAAAUUUUGCAUCCUUAGUCACGAAAGACAUAGGUUGCUUAGCUGUAUAACCAUCCAUGAGAGAAGGAACCUUAGUUUUUUGACGACAAAUUUCAUAAAACGAUUUGUAUAGAGUUUUUUUUUUUAUAAUUUGAGUCCGAGAUCUUGAAGAAUUUCUCAUCUAAGUGUCGUGGAGAAUAUUUGUAUGUUACCAGUGACUAAGUUCAUGUUUGUGCUAGAGAGAGGCAAGUAGGUGCAAUUUUAAUCCGACAAUGUUCUGAUGUAUACACGGCAGAUUAGAAUUUCAGAGAGCUUUCACUCCGAACAUCGUUUUUGAACUAGAAACUUUAAAUGAUCCUAUAAUCUACUUUCUUUGACAUUUUUGGGAAGCAAAUGAAGAGGAGUUACUGACAAAGGCAAAUUUCAAGAAAUUGAUGUUAGUAGAGUUGGGUGAAGAAUCGGAUACAGAAAUUUCUAUGGAAAACUCUUUUUCGUGCCUUAAAAAAAAGUUUCAAACGAGUUAAUUAAUGUUUGGCCCAUUAGAGGGCAUGGCAAGUUGCAUUAUGACCUGAUAAUGUUGUACUGUGAAUAUGACAGAUUUUAUUGAACAGCUUGCUUUCUUUAAUCUCUUAAUUUCAAACCGCCACAAAGUUGGUAGUGUUCGACAUUCUGGGCGUUAUUCAACCCAAAACGAUUACAAAGCACUCCUUUUUGCCUUGGACACGAACUUAGCUUUCGGUUUUUUAUCGAUUUUUUUAUUUAUUAAGGUCUCUUUUUCUGGGAACGGUUACAAUUUUGAAUUUUUUUUCGCUCCUAAUCUGAUUUGGCAACCAAGACUGCUGAUCACGAGAGUGAUUCUGCCCGUAAUUAUGAGGACUUCCGUCGAUAUUGUGGUAGAGGCCAACUCAUCGAGCUCAGCUCUUUGGUGGCAUGAAGACACGCUGUUGUUAACAGAUUUACCUAUUGCGUCAUGUGAGGAACCAUAG
This 1316-nucleotide long non-coding RNA is filed under the name Bemisia tabaci. RNAcentral describes it as "lncRNA ENSSSA1UGG002655". The record is from RNAcentral. Lineage: Eukaryota; Metazoa; Arthropoda; Insecta; Hemiptera; Aleyrodidae.